This 446-nucleotide ribosomal RNA is filed under the name Carychium costaricanum. RNAcentral's name for it is "partial 16S ribosomal RNA". It matches the Rfam family "Bacterial large subunit ribosomal RNA", at positions 1810 to 2602 of the family's 2925-position model. Lineage: Eukaryota; Metazoa; Mollusca; Gastropoda; Ellobiida; Ellobiidae. The record is from RNAcentral.
AAAACAUAGCCUUAAGAAGCGAUUUAAGGUAAGCCCUGCCCAGUGGAUAUAUUCUUAACGGCCGCAGUACCUUGACUGUGCUAAGGUAGCGUAAUCAGUUGGCUUUUAAAUGGAGUCCAGAAUGAACGGGGCCAUGGGGAGAGACUGUCUCUUUCUUGAUUAAUUUAACUUGCUUAAUAGGUGAAAAUACCUUUUUAAAGAAAAAAGACGAGAAGACCCUUAGAGCCUAACAAUAUAAUAUGAUUUAUUUGUUUUUGUUGGGGCGACAAGAAGACAAUAUAAUUAAACUCUUCUUUUAUACUAAACGAUUGUAAUAUAAAAGAACAGGCUACCUUAGGGAUAACAGCAUAAUUAUUUUUAGUUUGUGACCUCGAUGUUGGACUAGGAACUUGAUGACUAGUCGUCAAUAAAGGAAAGUUCUUGUUCGAACUAUUUUUUCCUACGUG